This 270-nucleotide ribosomal RNA is filed under the name uncultured bacterium. RNAcentral's name for it is "partial 16S ribosomal RNA". It matches the Rfam family "Bacterial small subunit ribosomal RNA", at positions 30 to 300 of the family's 1533-position model. The record is from RNAcentral.
AUUGAACGCUGGCGGCAGGCCUAACACAUGCAAGUCGAGCGGAUGAGAAGAGCUUGCUCUUCGAUUCAGCGGCGGACGGGUGAGUAAUGCCUAGGAAUCUGCCUGGUAGUGGGGGACAACGUUUCGAAAGGAACGCUAAUACCGCAUACGUCCUACGGGAGAAAGCAGGGGACCUUCGGGCCUUGCGCUAUCAGAUGAGCCUAGGUCGGAUUAGCUAGUUGGUGAGGUAAUGGCUCACCAAGGCGACGAUCCGUAACUGGUCUGAGAGGA